UCCGCAGGUGGCAGUUCAAGUCUGCUGUCAAAGACUGGGGCUUAACUCCGGACAGGCAGUGGAAACUGAACAGCUAGAGUAUGGUAGGGGCAGAGGGAAUUCCCAGUGUAGCGGUGAAAUGCGUAGAGAUUGGGAAGAACAUCGGUGGCGAAAGCGCUCUGCUGGACCAAAACUGACACUCAGGGACGAAAGGCUAGGGGAGCGAAUG
This 208-nucleotide ribosomal RNA is filed under the name uncultured bacterium. Its description in RNAcentral is "partial 16S ribosomal RNA". It matches the Rfam family "Bacterial small subunit ribosomal RNA", at positions 568 to 774 of the family's 1533-position model. The record is from RNAcentral.